This 76-nucleotide transfer RNA is filed under the name Puntigrus partipentazona. RNAcentral's name for it is "tRNA-Lys". It matches the Rfam family "tRNA". From Rfam's summary of the family: Transfer RNA (tRNA) molecules are approximately 80 nucleotides in length. Their secondary structure includes four short double-helical elements and three loops (D, anti-codon, and T loops). The record is from RNAcentral. RNAcentral also lists the same sequence under 1 other name. Lineage: Eukaryota; Metazoa; Chordata; Actinopteri; Cypriniformes; Cyprinidae.
CACUAGGAAGCUAAAAUACUGGACCAAGCGUUGGCCUUUUAAGCCAAAGUUGGUGAUUACCGACCACCCCUAGUGA